GGGCGCAUAGCUCAGGGGUAGAGCGCUCGCUUUGCAUCACCAGCAAAUAACCUGGAACAGAGCCGAAUCGUGUGCGAGAGGUCGUGGGUUCGAAUCCCACUGUGUCCA
Transfer RNA from Fonsecaea multimorphosa CBS 102226, 108 nucleotides. It matches the Rfam family "tRNA". From Rfam's summary of the family: Transfer RNA (tRNA) molecules are approximately 80 nucleotides in length. Their secondary structure includes four short double-helical elements and three loops (D, anti-codon, and T loops). The record is from Rfam. NCBI's taxonomy places the organism in Eukaryota, Fungi, Ascomycota, Eurotiomycetes, Chaetothyriales, Herpotrichiellaceae.